This 725-nucleotide ribosomal RNA is filed under the name uncultured bacterium. RNAcentral describes it as "bacterial SSU rRNA". It matches the Rfam family "Bacterial small subunit ribosomal RNA", at positions 65 to 773 of the family's 1533-position model. The record is from RNAcentral.
AGCGAACGGAUAAGGAGCUUGCUCCUUUGAAGUUAGCGGCGGACGGGUGAGUAACACGUGGGUAACCUACCUAUAAGACUGGGAUAACUUCGGGAAACCGGAGCUAAUACUGGAUAACAUUUAGAACCGCAUGGUUCUAAAGUGAAAGAUGGUUUUGCUAUCACUUAUAGAUGGACCCGCGCCGUAUUAGCUAGUUGGUAAGGUAACGGCUUACCAAGGCGACGAUACGUAGCCGACCUGAGAGGGUGAUCGGCCACACUGGAACUGAGACACGGUCCAGACUCCUACGGGAGGCAGCAGUAGGGAAUCUUCCGCAAUGGGCGAAAGCCUGACGGAGCAACGCCGCGUGAGUGAUGAAGGGUUUCGGCUCGUAAAACUCUGUUAUUAGGGAAGAACAAAUGUGUAAGUAACUGUGCACAUCUUGACGGUACCUAUCAGAAAGCCACGGCUAACUACGUGGCAGCAGCCGCGGUAAUACGUAGGUGGCAAGCGUUAUCCGGAAUUAUUGGGCGUAAAGCGCGCGUAGGCGGUUUCUUAAGUCUGAUGUGAAAGCCCACGGCUCAACCGUGGAGGGUCAUUGGAAACUGGGAAACUUGAGUGCAGAAGAGGAAAGUGGAAUUCCAUGUGUAGCGGUGAAAUGCGCAGAGAUAUGGAGGAACACCAGUGGCGAAGGCGACUUUCUGGUCUGUAACUGACGCUGAUGUGCGAAAGCGUGGGGAUCAAAC